GGAAAGAACCAAAGUGCAAAUUUGGAGAAGCACCCCAAAAGGGUGCCGGGGCUUCUCCC
Molecule: transfer RNA, 59 nt
Filed under: Cyrtodactylus tigroides
Lineage: Eukaryota; Metazoa; Chordata; Lepidosauria; Squamata; Gekkonidae
Description: tRNA-Cys
Source: RNAcentral